RNAcentral lists this long non-coding RNA (1080 nucleotides) under Setaria viridis. RNAcentral describes it as "long non-coding RNA (SVIR_LNC001294)". The record is from RNAcentral. Lineage: Eukaryota; Viridiplantae; Streptophyta; Magnoliopsida; Poales; Poaceae.
ACUCCUACAUUUGUACAUCACAGAGUCUUCACAUUUCACUUGAGAUACAAACAUCACAUAGUUCAACCACUUAGUAUCAUGAUUGUGUUUGUAACACCUCAUAUGCAAUGCAUGGUACAAAUAGUCCAGAACAAUACUACAAUACAUAAUUCAAAUAGUCCGUGACAUUAGUCCAUUAAAUAAUUAAAAUAGUUCAUGAUACAAGUCCAUUACAUGAAUCAAAUACUAACGGAUGAAGGUUCAUUCCAUUACUACUCUGAAUCAACAUCGAACAACAGCUCAUCAACAACCCAAACGUCCUCCACAUCGUGGUCCAAGUCUAUUGCGAUGUCCUUCCCCUUGUCCUUGCCCUUAGCCUCCAUAUCCUACGCCUUGCCAUUGCCCUUGGUGUUAUAGGAAACAUCCAUAGGUAAGUCACACACAAGUGCCUUUAUUGCCUCCAUUUGCGCCUCCCUUGCUAUAUCUUACAUUUCCUCCCUACUAUUGGUAGCCACUUUGUCCGUCGUAUCUUUAGACUUGUCAUCUUUAGGAAACUCACCAACAAGUGCCUUCAUUGUCUACAACUGUGCCAACUUUGCAACUAUUCUAGCCUCCUUCAAAUCGAUCCCUCUUUUGUUCGCCGCCAACAGUUGGAAAUACUCUUCCAUUGACCCUUUAGGAAAGAUCCUCGUUGGAUCAAACUAAUUCCAAUCACGAAGCCACCUCUCCCUCCUCAUACGCUUGUUGUCCUUCCUCUCCUUCCUCACCUCCUCCUCCUCCUUCAUUCUCUUCCUCAUCCUCUCAUCUGCAUUGAGGGGCCAUGGAUACUUGCUUCUAUUCCUCCUCCAAUAUUAAAUGAGGUCCUCUCGAACCGCCUCCCCAAUUAAAACACUUGACCAUCCUUUCUCUUAAUGAAUCUUAUCUUUGCAAAUUUAACCAAACAACUCAUUAUACGAUGGAAUAGGCACAUCGUGCUCCUCCCUUAUUUCAUUUUUCCUCUUUAGUGUUUCUUCGGUUUUCAAACGUUCAGAACAGCGCCCCAAACGUAGGCAGAGUUGUUCCCUACCUGGAAAGGUCUCCCAAUCACAAGUCCUCCCCUCC